Molecule: long non-coding RNA, 865 nt
Filed under: Homo sapiens (human)
Lineage: Eukaryota; Metazoa; Chordata; Mammalia; Primates; Hominidae
Description: HSALNT0010076
Source: RNAcentral
CAGUAGGAUGUGGGUGGGGCCAGAUAAGGGAACGAAAGCAGGCCUCCCAAGCCAGGAGCGGCAAACUGCUGGGAUCCAUUUCCAUGCUGUGGACUCUUUGUGCUUUGCUCUUUGCAGUAAAUCUUGCUGCUGCUCACUUUUUGGGUCUGCACCACCUUUAUGAGCUGUAACACUCACCGCGAAGGUCUGCAGCUUUACACCUGAAGCCAGGGAGACCACGAACUCAUCAGGAGGAACGAACAACUCCAGACGCGCGGCCUUUAAGAGCUGUAACACUCAACGCGAAGGUCUGCAGCUUCACUCUUGAAGUCAGCGAAACCGCAAACCCACCAGAAGGAAGAAACUCCGGACACAUCUGAACACCUGAAGGAACAAACCCCGGACACACCAUCUCUAAGAACUGUAACACUCACCGCCAGGGUCCGCGGCUUCAUUCUUGAAUCAGUGAGACCAAGAACCCACCAAUUCCAGACACAGAAGAUGAUCCUCAAUCAAUCACUUAAAGGCCUGAAUAGAACCAAAAGUCUGACCUGCCCAUGAGUAACAGAGAGCUCCUUCUGCCUGAUUGCUUCAGCUGAGAUAUCGGCCUUUCCCUGCCUUUGGAAUUGAACUGCAACACUGGCUCUUCUUGGGCCUCAAGACUGCCAGCUUUUGAACUGUAACCACACUAUCAUCUCUCCUGGUUCUCAGGCCUUUGGACUCAAAUCAGAAGCAUACCAGGGGCUCUCCUACAUCUCCAACUUGCUAACUGUGAUCUUGAGACUUCUUAGCCUCCAUAAUCACAUGAGUCAAUUGUUGGUUCUGCUUCUCUGGAGAACCCUAAUCCAUCACUCUACAUCUUUGUUCCAUUAUACAUAUUGCUUCC